UCUUAAACUCUACUUUGUCUGGUUUUUACUUUCCCAUACUUGUCAUGUUUAUUCGUUGUUUGUUUGUUUGCUUGUUUUUGUGUGAGUUUAUGCUUGAAACAUUGAGGAUAAUGUUUGAUUUAAAUAUGGGGGGGGGGAGGGGUAACCAAGUUAUUUUGCAUGAAAUUCGUAGGAGUUUAUCACCCAUUACUUCUAGUGUUGUUCCUUGCUGUUUUUAAGUGUUUUAAAGCUGUUUUGGAGUGUUUUAGUGUGUUUUGACAUAAAAAUCCAAAAAUCUCAUAAAAAUUUGAAAAAAAAAAUUGUUUUGAAAAACCCAAAAAGAGUUGUUUUUGUGUGUUUAUUUGUGUCUUAGGGUACCUUCCAACACAAUGAUGAGGAUUUGGUUUUUAAUUACAUGACUGUUAAAGAGAGUUAUAAACAUGGAUGAAAAUUGAUUUACUCUUUGGUGUAUGCUUGGUUGUGGUUAUAAUUUAUGAAU
Molecule: long non-coding RNA, 478 nt
Filed under: Malus domestica (apple)
Lineage: Eukaryota; Viridiplantae; Streptophyta; Magnoliopsida; Rosales; Rosaceae
Description: long non-coding RNA (MDOM_LNC016445)
Source: RNAcentral